CAGUCGCCGCGGGAAAACGAGGGGUGCAAGCGUUAUUCGGAUUGAUUGGGUGUAAAGGGUGUGCAGACGGCUUAUUAAGUCACUUGUUAAAUUCUUCGGCCUAACUGAAGGUCUGCAAGUGAUACUGAUGAGCUAGAGGGUGGAAGAGAGAAGUGGAAUUCUCGGAGUAGCGGUAAAAUGCGUAGAUCUCGAGAGGAACACCAAUGGCGAAGGCAGCUUCUUGGUCCAUUCCUGACGUUCAUACACGAAAGCGUGGGGAGCAAACAGGAUUAGAUACCCCCGUAGUCCCUGUCUCUUAUAC
RNAcentral lists this ribosomal RNA (301 nucleotides) under uncultured bacterium. Its description in RNAcentral is "partial 16S ribosomal RNA". It matches the Rfam family "Bacterial small subunit ribosomal RNA", at positions 509 to 807 of the family's 1533-position model. The record is from RNAcentral.